AGAGUUUGAUCCUGGCUCAGGAUGAACGCUAGCGGCAGGCUUAACACAUGCAAGUCGAGGGGUAUUUAUCUUCGGAUAGAGAGACCGGCGCACGGGUGCGUAACGCGUAUGCAAUCUACCUUUUACAGAGGGAUAGCCCAGAGAAAUUUGGAUUAAUACCUCAUAGUAUAUAGACCUGGCAUCAGGAUUAUAUUAAAGUCACAACGGUAAAAGAUGAGCAUGCGUCCCAUUAGCUAGUUGGUAAGGUAACGGCUUACCAAGGCUACGAUGGGUAGGGGUCCUGAGAGGGAGAUCCCCCACACUGGUACUGAGACACGGACCAGACUCCUACGGGAGGCAGCAGUGAGGAAUAUUGGACAAUGGGCGCAAGCCUGAUCCAGCCAUGCCGCGUGCAGGAUGACGGUCCUAUGGAUUGUAAACUGCUUUUAUACGAGAAGAAACACUACUUCGUGAAGUAGCUUGACGGUAUCGUAAGAAUAAGGAUCGGCUAACUCCGUGCCAGCAGCCGCGGUAAUACGGAGGAUCCAAGCGUUAUCCGGAAUCAUUGGGUUUAAAGGGUCCGUAGGCGGUUUAAUAAGUCAGUGGUGAAAGCCCAUCGCUCAACGGUGGAACGGCCAUUGAUACUGUUAGACUUGAAUUAUUAGGAAGUAACUAGAAUAUGUAGUGUAGCGGUGAAAUGCUUAGAGAUUACAUGGAAUACCAAUUGCGAAGGCAGGUUACUACUAAUUGAUUGACGCUGAUGGACGAAAGCGUGGGUAGCGAACAGGAUUAGAUACCCUGGUAGUCCACGCCGUAAACGAUGGAUACUAGCUGUUGGGAGCAAUCUCAGUGGCUAAGCGAAAGUGAUAAGUAUCCCACCUGGGGAGUACGUUCGCAAGA
Molecule: ribosomal RNA, 879 nt
Filed under: Flavobacterium sp. AKB-2008-JO16
Lineage: Bacteria; Pseudomonadati; Bacteroidota; Flavobacteriia; Flavobacteriales; Flavobacteriaceae
Description: bacterial SSU rRNA
Rfam family: Bacterial small subunit ribosomal RNA
Source: RNAcentral